RNAcentral lists this ribosomal RNA (468 nucleotides) under uncultured bacterium. Its description in RNAcentral is "partial 16S ribosomal RNA". It matches the Rfam family "Bacterial small subunit ribosomal RNA", at positions 28 to 507 of the family's 1533-position model. The record is from RNAcentral.
GACGAACGCUGGCGGCGUGCUUAACACAUGCAAGUCGAACGGAAAGGCCCUGCUUUUGUGGGGUGCUCGAGUGGCGAACGGGUGAGUAACACGUGAGUAACCUGCCCUUGACUUUGGGAUAACUUCAGGAAACUGGGGCUAAUACCGGAUAGGAGCUCCUGCUGCAUGGUGGGGGUUGGAAAGUUUCGGUGGUUGGGGAUGGACUCGCGGCUUAUCAGCUUGUUGGUGGGGUAGUGGCUUACCAAGGCUUUGACGGGUAGCCGGCCUGAGAGGGUGACCGGCCACAUUGGGACUGAGAUACGGCCCAGACUCCUACGGGAGGCAGCAGUGGGGAAUAUUGCACAAUGGGCGGAAGCCUGAUGCAGCAACGCCGCGUGCGGGAUGACGGCCUUCGGGUUGUAAACCGCUUUCGCCUGUAACGAAGCGUGAGUGACGGUAAUGGGUAAAGAAGCACCGGCUAACUACGUG